GAUGAACGCUAGCGGCAGGCCUAACACAUGCAAGUCGAGGGGUAGAAGGAGCUUGCUCCUUUGAGACCGGCGCACGGGUGCGUAACGCGUAUGCAAUCUACCUUGUACAGGGGAAUAGCCCAGAGAAAUUUGGAUUAAUGCCCCAUAGUAUAUAACCUUCGCAUGUUGGUUUUAUUAAAGUUCCAACGGUACAAGAUGAGCAUGCGUCCCAUUAGUUAGUUGGUAAGGUAACGGCUUACCAAGACGAUGAUGGGUAGGGGUCCUGAGAGGGAGAUCCCCCACACUGGUACUGAGACACGGACCAGACUCCUACGGGAGGCAGCAGUGAGGAAUAUUGGUCAAUGGUCGCAAGACUGAACCAGCCAUGCCGCGUGCAGGAAGACGGUCCUAUGGAUUGUAAACUGCUUUUAUACAGGAAGAAACCCUCCCACGUGUGGGAGCUUGACGGUACUGUAGGAAUAAGGAUCGGCUAACUCCGUG
This 480-nucleotide ribosomal RNA is filed under the name uncultured bacterium. Its description in RNAcentral is "partial 16S ribosomal RNA". It matches the Rfam family "Bacterial small subunit ribosomal RNA", at positions 28 to 507 of the family's 1533-position model. The record is from RNAcentral.